UACGAAGGGGGCUAGUGUUGUUCGGAUUUACUGGGCGUAAAGCGCACGUAGGCGGGUCGUUAAGUCAGGGGUGAAAUCCCGGAGCUCAACUCCGGAACUGCCUUUGAUACUGGCGACCUAGAGUCCGGAAGAGGUGAGUGGAACUCCUAGUGUAGAGGUGGAAUUCGUAGAUAUUAGGAAGAACACCAGUGGCGAAGGCGGCUCACUGGUCCGGUACUGACGCUGAAGUGCGAAAGCGUGGGGAGCAAACAGG
RNAcentral lists this ribosomal RNA (253 nucleotides) under uncultured bacterium. RNAcentral describes it as "partial 16S ribosomal RNA". It matches the Rfam family "Bacterial small subunit ribosomal RNA", at positions 524 to 776 of the family's 1533-position model. The record is from RNAcentral.